AAGCUGUUAUUUGGAAUCUCUUUUCCGCGCUAUUUACUUGUUGUGUUUUUCAUUUUUGUAAAAGAUUUUAGCUUCAUAUUAUAGUUAUGUUGCUUUCUUAACAAAGUUAAAUUGAGUCGAAACGCUGGAAGCAACAUACAGUUUUUCUCAACAUUUUGCGAAACAUUCUGCUAGCGGUGUUUGCUAAUGGCUUAUACUACCAAUACGACACUUGCAAUUACUCAGAUGUUUGUGAAAUUAGUUUAACUGUAGGCUACCGGGACAAAUAUGGGCUUAUACAGUUCAAAUCGAUCUCUCACCAGUACUUCCAGGGAUAGGCUGUAACAAACGAUAUAGUUCCGUAUAAAAGUGGACGAGUGCAUAACUCGGUUUAUCGCGUCUGGCCCGAUUGAUCUCCGAACGAAUGUCUAAGUAACCUUUCGCGGACAACAUGAGUGCCCGAAUUCUCAUCAUCGUUUCGAUCCUGGCCGGUUGCAUUGGAAGUAUGUUAAAUGCCAGCGUAAAUUAUUAUAAUAGUAAGCAUGCCAUAGCCGAGUCAACACGCGCCGUCUUCGAGAAACAAAUAGAACCUCUUACUUUUAUAAAAAUCGUUAACCUUGUCUACGAAAUUGCUGAGUGCAUAUACAAUCGUGUUGUAAAAUUUUUUGGAACAAAAGAAUAUGGCGGGUUGUAGGAGUAUGCAAAAAAAGAGGUCGACUAACCCGGACAUGAAGAUAUCACGUAGCUGUAAGAAGCUCUCCUAGAGCCGAUCUUACGUUUGCGACAAGGCCAGAAGCCGUAUGUGGCGCAGAAGGGAAACAACGGCAACAACACAAUGGUAGCCAUCAUCGCGACUCCGGCAAAUCACUGAACGUGGAUGUUUCUAUUCAACAUCUAUACACUAAAUAAACCGAGUUCUCAGCUCCACAGUCUAAAAUAAGAUGGUUCAUAGAUCAAUAAAAAAAUACUUAGUUAAUUAUGCUCUGUUGACUAUAGCUCAUGUGAUUAUCUAGAAUAAGACAGUACGGUCUUUUAUAUAUAUAUAUGAGAAUGUUCGUCGCUUGUUUUGCACUGUAGGUAAUUAAAGAUCAAUAGAAAUUCAUACAUGGUGACAUAAAAUUAUAGAAUCAAUAAUUCUUUUCGAAAUCUCACCCGUCGCUAUACAGCUUUCCAAAGGCAAAAUAGUUAGCCUAUAUUGUCUCCUACAAUAUGAUUCCCUGAAAAAUUUUCGCCAGAUCGACAUUCUUACUCAAGUUUCAUGACUGUUUUCAAAAGAUACGAAAAUCCUGAGGAUAUCCUUUAGGUUUUAGGGAGGUUAGACAACCUUAGUUAAAGCAGUAAAGGAAGACAAUGCUUACAUCUGUUAAUGUAGAUAAAAAUGGCUGUUUAUUAUAUCGUCAUCAUUUCUUUUUCUUACAUGACCUUUUACUAUCGUGGGGUUAGUAAAGUACGUACAAGAAGAUUUUUUUCUUCUCGACAGCUUUUUUCGUGGGAAGUAACAUAUUAGCAAGCUUCACUCUAAUAAUUGCCAUAAUUAUUAUUCCUUUAUAAUUGUAACCUGUAUUGACAUGUGACGCAAACGAUUCUUGAGGUGCCUAAUGGCUUGUAGCGGUAGAGUUUAUUCCAUGUUACUUUGGAAAAAACUUUUUCCUAUUUCUCAAACUAAUACACUAAACAGCUCGAAAUUAUGACGUCGCCCGUUCAUUCCAGUUAUAAAUAUUUUAGUGAAAGUUGCUCUGAAAACUCAGCAAAACAGUUCACUGGGUCAGAGCUGCGGUGGAUCGGAUACCAACUCGCCUGCUUAAGGUCCUUGGUCCGAACUACAACAGAAACUCUCGAAAUUUUUAAACGUAUCAAGUUUUUGUUUCCAGUUAAGUAUGCAGAUACAUAUGACUAGACAUAGUGUUAUUAUUGCACUCUCUACCCAAAAGGUAUAAUUUAAACUGGCCUUCACAUCACGAGACAGUAACCUGUUGCAGACAUCUUGCCUGUAAGGUAUCAAAUCUGUGUGUACAAAGCCUAGAAGUUUGAAACUAUACAGAUAAGAUCUUGUGUUCAGCCAUAAUUGUCUUCAGCCCACAAUUAUAUCAUCGGGAUUUUGACACAUUUUGUUUCAGACACUUUUCAUUAAAAUCGUCUGCGAAACAGCCACCGGUAGGCAGUGUCGGCCGUCAAUCGAGAAAGUAAAGUUGUCAAAUCGUCAUUUGUUGAUGAACAGAGAGAAUUUUCAUUCAAAAUAUCAUUGUGAAAUUUCUUCUACGUAUUUAAACUUACUGAAGACAAAUGCUGUUUAUGGUAUUCUUUGUCGUAAGAUUGAAGAUAAGAUUGAACCUAUGUGUUUCUGUUACUAUGCGGCAAGCAAGGACCAAAACUUCACUCGAUGUGCAUUUCCUCUAAUUUGACAUGACCUUUGUGUACAUUUAGACGAUAAUAUUGCCCUCGCCUUUUAUCUCAUAUGCACUGUGAGUCUUAGGUUGCUCAUCCUUUUAUAUAUAUAUAUAUAUAUGUAUAUAUUUACACAUAGUUCAUCGUAUUUGGCACACGGCGAACCUCAUGACUGAGGACCUCACCCGCCUUCGCUCGAUCCAUGGGGCCUCAUGUCAUUAUCUUUAUAGCAAGCAAGAGCUACAUAGGCUAUAUACCAUAUCUGUAUUUUCAAUGUAUAACCCAUCACCGAACAUAACAAAUCCGGAGCAAGCAACGUCAGUUCUGAUGAUUAUUACUAGUUGUUUGCGUAAAAUAAUGAUUAUGUACUUAGUUGAAAUGUAAUUUUGAGUUCGAGUACUUGCAUAAUAAAAUAUCUCCAUCGGUUCUAAAACAUGUUGCUUGAAAAAUUCUCCAAGUGGUAAUUAUUACUAUCGGAUUCCCUUUUAAAAUGACUAUUGGGCUUCAAAACUGUACACAAAGAUGAGCGACAUUGCAAAAAAUAAUUUACUAAUCUAAGUUUUUUCUUUGAUGAUUUGGCGUCCAAAUACUAUAUGGUUCUUAUGGACACUUUGUUUCACAUUAAGUUGUGAUUUUUCUAGAAUGUUGCGAUAGCAUUAACCGUUACCCCUAUUCAGGUGACCACACAUUCAGUCUCUCGUGUUUUCCUGUCAUAUUUGUGUCUAUGUCUAGUUGCUAUGUACAAAUCGACCCAAAUUUUAUUUCAAUACUUGAUAAAUAUCUCUCCUUGAGAGGUCUAUAUCGUACCACUUUUUCUAGAAACAACUAACACCCUUUCUGAGGUAAGAUACGUGAUGGAAUUCAGAUAGCCCCAGCAUGUUGAAAGGUGCGUCGAUCAGCCCCCCAGAAUCUGUGGCCCCGUUUUGCAGUCUCUAUCAGAAUGAACUCGCACUAUUCACUUCUGUACAUAUACCUUCUACCAUUUGUAUAGACUUUCAAGACUCCUUAUUGUCAAUCCUGUCACUUGUCGUCCAUCAACUAACUCCCUCAACUUUAUCUUUUCUCAGAUAAGUCAGGCAAUCGAUUCGUUGUCAAACACGAAUCGCAACUCAUCAUCUGUGGCCUUUGUAAGCCGACAGUCAAUAUUUGCAUAAUGUCUGUCGGUGUUUAAACUUAUACCACUCCAUUAGUUAUACCUCUUAUUCGUUAAAAGUGUAAGAACAUUGUUGGUUGAGCUGCAUCAUACCGUAGUUGAAAUAAUCCUAACACAUGAAUAUCAUCACGGAAUCGCCGCCAUUCUGGUGUAUGCAAGAAGCCGCCCCUCGUCGGUGCGUGCCGGCGUUGUCUUCAGAAAAAAGAAAGAUUUUUCGGUAUUCUAUUAUUUAGAGUGCCAUUUACAGAUGAAUCUUCACAUUAGAUUACCCCAUUGUAGGCAAAGAAAUCAGUGCUAUAAGCUGCUAAGUAAACGAGCCUCAGUGAUUUUCCAGAUUGUCAGCUCCAGGAAAAAAAGCUGAGUUUUUAGCUUUUAUUGUUCGAUAUUAGACCAGUUGCGAGGAAUUGGACACAUGGAAAAAGGUAGCAGAACGAAGAGCAGCUUCUUGGCGGCCAAACCGCAAUCAGUUCACCAGUUAGGGAUAAUUAGGGCUGGAAGACCCACACAAUAAAUUCUCGCUUUGUUCCAGACUACAACCAUUUGUCCGUUUGUUCAAUUGUGCUGAUUUAAGUUGAUUUUUUCGUCAAAUUUCAUUGUUUGGGUUGGACCGUCUUCUUAGAAUGUGCACAUUUCUUUUACCAAACCGACAGUACAUUUAGUAAUCUGUUUUAUUGUCUCCUCUGAGGAUCUUUUGUAUGCAUGGGACGCUUUCGAAACAUUAAAAGAGAAAGAGAAA
Molecule: long non-coding RNA, 4253 nt
Filed under: Varroa destructor (honeybee mite)
Lineage: Eukaryota; Metazoa; Arthropoda; Arachnida; Mesostigmata; Varroidae
Description: uncharacterized LOC111245180
Source: RNAcentral